Small nucleolar RNA from Erpetoichthys calabaricus (reedfish), 75 nucleotides. Its record names the gene SNORD34. It matches the Rfam family "Small nucleolar RNA SNORD34". Rfam says of the family: snoRNA U34 is found in intron 5 of the ribosomal protein L13a gene in humans. U34 is a member of the C/D class of snoRNA which contain C (UGAUGA) and D (CUGA) box motifs, and functions in directing site-specific 2'-O-methylation of 25S rRNAs. Lineage: Eukaryota; Metazoa; Chordata; Cladistia; Polypteriformes; Polypteridae. The record is from Ensembl.
UUAUGUCGGUGAUGCUGCUAUUAUACCUACAUUGUUUGAAUGCAAGUGAGAAAACAUUAAAUAUCUGAGACAUAU